This 494-nucleotide ribosomal RNA is filed under the name uncultured bacterium. RNAcentral's name for it is "partial 16S ribosomal RNA". It matches the Rfam family "Bacterial small subunit ribosomal RNA", at positions 28 to 507 of the family's 1533-position model. The record is from RNAcentral.
GACGAACGCUGGCGGCGUGCCUAAUACAUGCAAGUAGAACGCUGAAGGAGGAGCUUGCUUCUCUGGAUGAGUUGCGAACGGGUGAGUAACGCGUAGGUAACCUGCCUGGUAGCGGGGGAUAACUAUUGGAAACGAUAGCUAAUACCGCAUAAGAGUAGAUGUUGCAUGACAUUUGCUUAAAAGGUGCAAUUGCAUCACUACCAGAUGGACCUGCGUUGUAUUAGCUAGUUGGUGGGGUAACGGCUCACCAAGGCGACGAUACAUAGCCGACCUGAGAGGGUGAUCGGCCACACGGGAACUGAGACACGGCCCAGACUCCUACGGGAGGCAGCAGUGGGGAAUAUUGGACAAUGGGCGGAAGCCUGACCGAGAAACGCCGCGUGGGUGAAGAAGGUUUUCGGGUUGUAAAGCUCUUUUGGAGGGGAAGAAGGGGGUAAAGAGAGGAAAUUUACACAUUGGGGGUAACCGAACAAGAAGGGGGGGGUAACCCCGUG